Molecule: long non-coding RNA, 1120 nt
Organism: Fukomys damarensis (Damara mole-rat)
Lineage: Eukaryota; Metazoa; Chordata; Mammalia; Rodentia; Bathyergidae
Exons: 6
Source: RefSeq, a predicted model, not a curated record
AGAAGAAAUCAUAGAUGACGACGAUGAUGACAUCACUCUUACAGUUGAAGCUUUUUGUCAUAAUGGGGAUGAGACAAUUGAAACUAUUGAAGCUGCUGAGGUACUCCUUAAUGUGGAUUCUCCUGGUCCUGUGCUGGAUGAAAAACGAAUAAGUAGUAAUAUAUUUAGUUCAUCUGAAGAUGACAUUGUGGUUGCCCCAGUCACCCAUGUAUCCGUCACAUUAGAUGGGAUUCCUGAAGUGCUGGAAACUCACCUGGUGCAAGAAGCAUAUGCAGACUCACCAGGAGCCUCAUCACCAGAACAGCCUAAAAGAAAGAAAGAAAUCAUCAACACCAAGGACUGUGGAGGACGGAGGUAGUAACUGUAUGCAGAAUGGUAGGCUGCUCCAACAGCAUGAUCAUCUCAACUACAGAAAACAGUGCUACCAAAGUAUGGUUCUAGGGAGAAAAAGUAAGCCCCCACGACCAGAUUCCAAGUAUAUCUUUGAAGAAGAAAAACAAAGAUGGGAAGGGAUUAACAUGUUUUUGUAUGAAACUCUCCACCACAUAAAAGACGAAACUUCUGACUGCUCUUAAGUUCAGUCUUCUGGCUCCAUGUUUGUGGACUUUGUCCUAAGUACAGCUCUCUGUGGAGCUGCCACUCAAGCACCGCAACUGUCUGUGACCAUCACUCUGCUGGCCUGGAACACCCCAUGUGGUUCUCCAACUGUGUCCGUGUCCAGGUCAGUGAGUUUGUGUUGUCCAUUGCACACACACCCAUCCUCUGCCCCCUCAGAAGUUCUCAAGCCAAGCAGAAAAAAGAUAUGGCACUGUCUCUGCGGCCUCCAGCUUCCAGUUUAUGCUGUGCAUGAGCUUCCCCUCAUCUUGCUGUGAAUGUAGAAAAUGUUAGGAAACCAUUGCAUUUGCAAAUUGUUCAACUUUUGGUCACUUUGGCAGAUGCAGGAGCUCCUUUUGGCUUCCCUGAUCCCCAGGGUGGACUAACUCUCGGAGGGUCUUUGGGAUUCCUUUGAGACUGGCUUCUGUACCUGUUCACCACAGUUUGGAGAAGGAAAACGUUUAUCUUAACCAGACUAUCUAUCUGUACAAUUAAGUUGUACAGCUGAUGUGUAAAAGACAAAGUC